This 1977-nucleotide ribosomal RNA is filed under the name Escherichia coli MS 145-7. Its description in RNAcentral is "bacterial LSU rRNA". It matches the Rfam family "Bacterial large subunit ribosomal RNA", at positions 968 to 2925 of the family's 2925-position model. The record is from RNAcentral. Lineage: Bacteria; Pseudomonadati; Pseudomonadota; Gammaproteobacteria; Enterobacterales; Enterobacteriaceae.
AAUGUUAUCACGGGAGACACACGGCGGGUGCUAACGUCCGUCGUGAAGAGGGAAACAACCCAGACCGCCAGCUAAGGUCCCAAAGUCAUGGUUAAGUGGGAAACGAUGUGGGAAGGCCCAGACAGCCAGGAUGUUGGCUUAGAAGCAGCCAUCAUUUAAAGAAAGCGUAAUAGCUCACUGGUCGAGUCGGCCUGCGCGGAAGAUGUAACGGGGCUAAACCAUGCACCGAAGCUGCGGCAGCGACACUAUGUGUUGUUGGGUAGGGGAGCGUUCUGUAAGCCUGUGAAGGUGUACUGUGAGGUAUGCUGGAGGUAUCAGAAGUGCGAAUGCUGACAUAAGUAACGAUAAAGCGGGUGAAAAGCCCGCUCGCCGGAAGACCAAGGGUUCCUGUCCAACGUUAAUCGGGGCAGGGUGAGUCGACCCCUAAGGCGAGGCCGAAAGGCGUAGUCGAUGGGAAACAGGUUAAUAUUCCUGUACUUGGUGUUACUGCGAAGGGGGGACGGAGAAGGCUAUGUUGGCCGGGCGACGGUUGUCCCGGUUUAAGCGUGUAGGCUGGUUUUCCAGGCAAAUCCGGAAAAUCAAGGCUGAGGCGUGAUGACGAGGCACUACGGUGCUGAAGCAACAAAUGCCCUGCUUCCAGGAAAAGCCUCUAAGCAUCAGGUAACAUCAAAUCGUACCCCAAACCGACACAGGUGGUCAGGUAGAGAAUACCAAGGCGCUUGAGAGAACUCGGGUGAAGGAACUAGGCAAAAUGGUGCCGUAACUUCGGGAGAAGGCACGCUGAUAUGUAGGUGAAGUCCCUCGCGGAUGGAGCUGAAAUCAGUCGAAGAUACCAGCUGGCUGCAACUGUUUAUUAAAAACACAGCACUGUGCAAACACGAAAGUGGACGUAUACGGUGUGACGCCUGCCCGGUGCCGGAAGGUUAAUUGAUGGGGUCAGCGCAAGCGAAGCUCUUGAUCGAAGCCCCGGUAAACGGCGGCCGUAACUAUAACGGUCCUAAGGUAGCGAAAUUCCUUGUCGGGUAAGUUCCGACCUGCACGAAUGGCGUAAUGAUGGCCAGGCUGUCUCCACCCGAGACUCAGUGAAAUUGAACUCGCUGUGAAGAUGCAGUGUACCCGCGGCAAGACGGAAAGACCCCGUGAACCUUUACUAUAGCUUGACACUGAACAUUGAGCCUUGAUGUGUAGGAUAGGUGGGAGGCUUUGAAGUGUGGACGCCAGUCUGCAUGGAGCCGACCUUGAAAUACCACCCUUUAAUGUUUGAUGUUCUAACGUGGACCCGUAAUCCGGGUUGCGGACAGUGUCUGGUGGGUAGUUUGACUGGGGCGGUCUCCUCCUAAAGAGUAACGGAGGAGCACGAAGGUUGGCUAAUCCUGGUCGGACAUCAGGAGGUUAGUGCAAUGGCAUAAGCCAGCUUGACUGCGAGCGUGACGGCGCGAGCAGGUGCGAAAGCAGGUCAUAGUGAUCCGGUGGUUCUGAAUGGAAGGGCCAUCGCUCAACGGAUAAAAGGUACUCCGGGGAUAACAGGCUGAUACCGCCCAAGAGUUCAUAUCGACGGCGGUGUUUGGCACCUCGAUGUCGGCUCAUCACAUCCUGGGGCUGAAGUAGGUCCCAAGGGUAUGGCUGUUCGCCAUUUAAAGUGGUACGCGAGCUGGGUUUAGAACGUCGUGAGACAGUUCGGUCCCUAUCUGCCGUGGGCGCUGGAGAACUGAGGGGGGCUGCUCCUAGUACGAGAGGACCGGAGUGGACGCAUCACUGGUGUUCGGGUUGUCAUGCCAAUGGCACUGCCCGGUAGCUAAAUGCGGAAGAGAUAAGUGCUGAAAGCAUCUAAGCACGAAACUUGCCCCGAGAUGAGUUCUCCCUGACUCCUUGAGAGUCCUGAAGGAACGUUGAAGACGACGACGUUGAUAGGCCGGGUGUGUAAGCGCAGCGAUGCGUUGAGCUAACCGGUACUAAUGAACCGUGAGGCUUAACCUU